This 251-nucleotide ribosomal RNA is filed under the name uncultured prokaryote. RNAcentral's name for it is "partial 16S rRNA". It matches the Rfam family "Bacterial small subunit ribosomal RNA", at positions 525 to 775 of the family's 1533-position model. The record is from RNAcentral.
ACGUAGGGUGCGAGCGUUAAUCGGAAUUACUGGGCGUAAAGCGUGCGCAGGCGGUUUUGUAAGACAGAUGUGAAAUCCCCGGGCUCAACCUGGGACCUGCAUUUGUGACUGCAAAGCUAGAGUACGGUAGAGGGGGAUGGAAUUCCGCGUGCAGCAGUGAAAUGCGUAGAUAUGCGGAGGAACACCGAUGGCGAAGGCAAUCCCCUGGACCUGUACUGACGCUCAUGCACGAAAGCGUGGGGAGCAAACAG